GAUGAACGCUGGCGGCGUGCCUAAUACAUGCAAGUCGAGCGAACAGACGAGGAGCUUGCUCCUCUGACGUUAGCGGCGGACGGGUGAGUAACACGUGGAUAACCUACCUAUAAGACUGGGAUAACUUCGGGAAACCGGAGCUAAUACCGGAUAAUAUAUUGAACCGCAUGGUUCAAUAGUGAAAGACGGUUUUGCUGUCACUUAUAGAUGGAUCCGCGCCGCAUUAGCUAGUUGGUAAGGUAACGGCUUACCAAGGCAACGAUGCGUAGCCGACCUGAGAGGGGGUACGGCGACACUGGAACUGAGACACGGUCCAGACUCCUACGGGAGGCAGCAGUAGGGAAUCUUCGGCAAUGGGCGAAAGCUUGACGGAGCAGCGCCGCGUGGAUGAAGAAGGUCUUCGGGUCGUAAGACGCUGUUAGUGUUGAAGAACGAAUGUAGAAGGAACGAAGCACGUCUUGACGGUACCUGAUCAGGAAGCCACGGCUAACUACGUG
Molecule: ribosomal RNA, 497 nt
Filed under: uncultured bacterium
Lineage: Bacteria
Description: partial 16S ribosomal RNA
Rfam family: Bacterial small subunit ribosomal RNA
Source: RNAcentral